CCUACGGGAGGCAGCAGUGAGGAAUAUUGGUCAAUGGGCGAGAGCCUGAACCAGCCAAGCCGCGUGAGGGAGUACUGCCCUAUGGGUUGUAAACCUCUUUUGUCGGGGAGCAAAAGCCGGACGUGUCCGGCUGUGAGAGUACCCGAAGAAAAAGCAUCGGCUAACUCCGUGCCAGCAGCCGCGGUAAUACGGAGGAUGCGAGCGUUAUCCGGAUGUGUUGGGUUUAAAGGGUGCGCAGGCGGAUUUUUAAGUCAGCGGUCAAAUCGUGGGGCUCAACCCCAUCCAGCCGUUGAAACUGGGGAUCUAGAGUGAGCGAGAGGUAUGCGGAAUGCGUGGUGUAGCGGUGAAAUGCGUAGAUAUCACGCAGAACCCCGAUUGCGAAGGCAGCAUACCGGUGCACAACUGACGCUCAGGCACGAAAGCGUGGGUAGCGAACAGGAUUAGAUACCCUUGUAGUC
RNAcentral lists this ribosomal RNA (458 nucleotides) under uncultured bacterium. RNAcentral's name for it is "partial 16S ribosomal RNA". It matches the Rfam family "Bacterial small subunit ribosomal RNA", at positions 338 to 795 of the family's 1533-position model. The record is from RNAcentral.